AGCAGCCGCGGUAAUUCCAGCUCCAAUAGCGUAUAUUAAAGUUGCUGCAGUUAAAAAGCUCGUAGUUGAAUUUCGGGACUAAUAUGUCGGUCGUGCCUCGGUACGUACUGGUAUUUUUGGUUUCUCCCUUCUGACGAACCUUGAUGUCAUUAAUUUGGUGUCUUGGGGAAUCAGGACUGUUACUUUGAAAAAAUUAGAGUGUUUAAAGCAGGCUCACGCUUGAAUACAUUAGCAUGGAAUAAUGAAAUAGGACGUUUGAUUCUAUUUUGUUGGUUUCUAGGAUUGACGUAAUGAUUAAUAGGGAUAGUUGGGGGCAUUAGUAUUCAAUUGUCAGAGGUGAAAUUCUUGGAUUUAUUGAAGACUAACUACUGCGAAAGCAUUUGCCAAGGAUGUUUUCAUUAAUCAAGAACGAAAGUUAGGGGAUCGAAGGCGAUCAGAUACCGUCGUAGUCUUAACCAUAAACUAUGCCGACUAGGGAUCGGAUGAUGUUAAUUUUUUAAUGACUCA
RNAcentral lists this ribosomal RNA (507 nucleotides) under uncultured Glomus. RNAcentral describes it as "SSU rRNA". It matches the Rfam family "Eukaryotic small subunit ribosomal RNA", at positions 569 to 1078 of the family's 1831-position model. Lineage: Eukaryota; Fungi; Glomeromycota; Glomeromycetes; Glomerales; Glomeraceae. The record is from RNAcentral.